This 310-nucleotide ribosomal RNA is filed under the name uncultured Bacteroidota bacterium. RNAcentral describes it as "bacterial SSU rRNA". It matches the Rfam family "Bacterial small subunit ribosomal RNA", at positions 219 to 526 of the family's 1533-position model. The record is from RNAcentral. Lineage: Bacteria; Pseudomonadati; Bacteroidota.
UAAAAGAUGAGCAUGCGUCCCAUUAGCUAGUUGGUAAGGUAACGGCUUACCAAGGCUACGAUGGGUAGGGGUCCUGAGAGGGAGAUCCCCCACACUGGUACUGAGACACGGACCAGACUCCUACGGGAGGCAGCAGUGAGGAAUAUUGGACAAUGGGCGCAAGCCUGAUCCAGCCAUGCCGCGUGCAGGAUGACGGUCCUAUGGAUUGUAAACUGCUUUUAUACGAGAAGAAACACUCCAACGUGUUGGAGCUUGACGGUAUCGUAAGAAUAAGGAUCGGCUAACUCCGUGCCAGCAGCCGCGGUAAUAC